UAGUAGCACUUAUAGGAACUGUCUGGAGUGUCCACGAAAGUGGAAAUUAGUGCUUUAAAUAAAUCCUUGCACAAAGGUA
Molecule: non-coding RNA, 79 nt
Filed under: unclassified sequences
Description: RAGATH-12 RNA
Rfam family: RAGATH-12 RNA
About the family: RNA motif Associated with Genes Associated with Twister and Hammerhead ribozymes (RAGATH).
Source: Rfam by way of RNAcentral